RNAcentral lists this ribosomal RNA (223 nucleotides) under uncultured bacterium. RNAcentral describes it as "partial 16S ribosomal RNA". It matches the Rfam family "Bacterial small subunit ribosomal RNA", at positions 116 to 334 of the family's 1533-position model. The record is from RNAcentral.
CGUAGGUAACCUGCCUGGUAGCGGGGGAUAACUAUUGGAAACGAUAGCUAAUACCGCAUAAUAGUAGAUGUUGCAUGACAUUUGCUUAAAAGGUGCAAUUGCAUCACUACCAGAUGGACCUGCGUUGUAUUAGCUAGUUGGUGAGGUAACGGCUCACCAAGGCGACGAUACAUAGCCGACCUGAGAGGGUGAUCGGCCACACUGGGACUGAGACCCGGCCCAG